GCUGCAUCCGCCUGCUACAAGGUCCAACUUCUGGGAUUCACCAGCUAAAGCAAAGCAGAACAGAGCGGAUCUUUCAGCGGCUAGGGGCCUCAGUUCUAAGAAGUAAAGGGGAUCUUCAUGGUAUUGUUUUGUGUGCUGCUCUGAGCACUGACAUUAAAGAAAGUGGCCGGAGAAGAAGUGGGCAGAGCAGGUUCCUUCCUCACCAGCGUCACCUGCUUUUCUCUUCCAAGUUCAAACUCGGCUUAGGUCCCCGCCUAGGGAAAAGGACAUCAGAUUCCAGGACUGGCCUGCUGUACCAGGCGGAGAGCACGAGAAACCUUCCUGCUGUAUGGUGUUUUGGCAUAGAUAUUCUGGAUGUGACUUGAGACUGCUUGCUGUUUCCGGACCAUUUACACCCAUUGUUGUCUUGUGAGCCCAGUCACGGCCUGACACGGAACGCCUCUCAUGUAAUCUUCUCAUAGGAAUCUAACUAAUGCAGAGUGCUGUGGCAUUGUCAGCCCUCAUCUUACACACUGCUCAGGAUGCAAAGGUGGCUAGUAUAGUAACAUCUGCCUCUUUAGCAAGAGCCUCAGUUGCUCCAAUUUAAAUACGGGGAGGGAGCUGGGUGCAGUGGCUUAUGCCUGUAAUCCCAGCGUUUUGGGAGCCAAGGCAGGAAGAUCGCUUGAGCCAAGGAGUUCAAGACCAGCCUGGGCAAAUUAGCAAGACCUCCUCUCUACGAAAUUUUUUUAGAAAACUUAGACAGGAGGCCAGGCCCAGUGGCUCAUGCCUGUAAUCUCAGCACUUUGGGAGGCCAAGGGGGACGGAUCACUUGAGGUCAGGAGUUCGAGAUCAGCCUAGCCAUGAUGGUGAAACCCCUUCUCUACCAAAAAAAUACAAUUACAGGCACGUGGUGGCGCAUGCCUGUAAUCCCAGCUACUCAGGAGGCUGGGGUGGGAGUAUCACUUGAACCUGGGAGGCGGAGGUUGCAGUGAGCCGAGAUCGCACCACUGUACUCUAGUCUGGGUGACAGAGUGAGACCCUGUCUCCAAAAAAAAAGAAAAAAAGUUAGACAGGAGUGGUGGCAGGAGGAUCAGUUGAGCCCAGGAGUUUGAAGUUGCGGUGACCUUUGAUCGUGCCGCUGCACUCCAGCCUAGGUGACAGAGCAAGACUCUGUCUCUAAACAAAUAAUUAAGAAAUAAACAAAUAAAUGGAGCUAUUGAACAAGGAGAGCAAACAUUUUUCAUCUUAGGAGCUGAAUAAACUUGAAUAAACAUGAAUAAACUUCUACUUGCAUUAACCACCUUGUAACAUCUCAGUUCUACCUGACUAGUAGUAACCCUGUGAGUACUGUCUGAAGACUAUCAGAUCUUAUCCAGAGCAUAAGGAAAAAAGGGUUUAGAGUCACUGAGUGACAGGGCCUGAAGGAAAACCUAGCAUACCCCAACCCCAAGCCUGUGAGCCCCUGAGAGCAGGCAUUAGUCUGAUUUGUCUCUGACCCCCAGAUGCUGGUACAGUGCCUGGCACACGGUGA
RNAcentral lists this long non-coding RNA (1510 nucleotides) under Homo sapiens (human). Its description in RNAcentral is "HSALNT0134734". The record is from RNAcentral. Lineage: Eukaryota; Metazoa; Chordata; Mammalia; Primates; Hominidae.